GGGUUGUGAGGUUAAGCGACUAAGCGUACACGGUGGAUGCCCUGGCAGUCAGAGGCGAUGAAGGACGUGCUAAUCUGCGAUAAGCGCCGGUAAGGUGAUAUGAACCGUUAUAACCGGCGAUUUCCGAAUGGGGAAACCCAGUGUGACUCGUCACACUAUCAUUAACUGAAUCCAUAGGUUAAUGAGGCGAACCGGGGGAACUGAAACAUCUAAGUACCCCGAGGAAAAGAAAUCAACCGAGAUUCCCCCAGUAGCGGCGAGCGAACGGGGAGGAGCCCAGAGCCUGAAUCAGCAUGUGUGUUAGUGGAAGCGUCUGGAAAGGCGCGCGAUACAGGGUGACAGCCCCGUACACAAAAGCGCAUGUGCUGUGAGCUCGAUGAGUAGGGCGGGACACGUGGUAUCCUGUCUGAAUAUGGGGGGACCAUCCUCCAAGGCUAAAUACUCCUGACUGACCGAUAGUGAACCAGUACCGUGAGGGAAAGGCGAAAAGAACCCCGGCGAGGGGAGUGAAAAAGAACCUGAAACCGUGUACGUACAAGCAGUGGGAGCNNGGGCGUUAAGUUGCAGGGUAUAGACCCGAAACCCGGUGAUCUAGCCAUGGGCAGGUUGAAGGUUGGGUAACACUAACUGGAGGACCGAACCGACUAAUGUUGAAAAAUUAGCGGAUGACCUGUGGCUGGGGGUGAAAGGCCAAUCAAACCGGGAGAUAGCUGGUUCUCCCCGAAAGCUAUUUAGGUAGCGCCUCGUGAAUUCAUCUCCGGGGGUAGAGCACUGUUUCGGCUAGGGGGCCAUCCCGGCUUACCAACCCGAUGCAAACUGCGAAUACCGGAGAAUGUUAUCACGGGAGACACACGGCGGGUGCUAACGUCCGUCGUGAAGAGGGAAACAACCCAGACCGCCAGCUAAGGUCCCAAAGUCAUGGUUAAGUGGGAAACGAUGUGGGAAGGCCCAGACAGCCAGGAUGUUGGCUUAGAAGCAGCCAUCAUUUAAAGAAAGCGUAAUAGCUCACUGGUCGAGUCGGCCUGCGCGGAAGAUGUAACGGGGCUAAACCAUGCACCGAAGCUGCGGCAGCGANNGUUGGGUAGGGGAGCGUUCUGUAAGCCUGUGAAGGUGGCCUGUGAGGGUUGCUGGAGGUAUCAGAAGUGCGAAUGCUGACAUAAGUAACGAUAAAGCGGGUGAAAAGCCCGCUCGCCGGAAGACCAAGGGUUCCUGUCCAACGUUAAUCGGGGCAGGGUGAGUCGACCCCUAAGGCGAGGCCGAAAGGCGUAGUCGAUGGGAAACGGGUUAAUAUUCCCGUACUUGGUGUUACUGCGAAGGGGGGACGGAGAAGGCUAUGUUGGCCGGGCGACGGUUGUCCCGGUUUAAGCGUGUAGGUGUGUGUUCCAGGUAAAUCCGGUUCACUUUAACACUGAGGCGUGACGACGAGGCACUACGGUGCUGAAGCAACAAAUGCCCUGCUUCCAGGAAAAGCCUCUAAGCAUCAGGUAACAUCAAAUCGUACCCCAAACCGACACAGGUGGUCAGGUAGAGAAUACCAAGGCGCUUGAGAGAACUCGGGUGAAGGAACUAGGCAAAAUGGUGCCGUAACUUCGGGAGAAGGCACGCUGACAUGUAGGUGAAGUGAUUUACUCAUGGAGCUGAAGUCAGUCGAAGAUACCAGCUGGCUGCAACUGUUUAUUAAAAACACAGCACUGUGCAAACACGAAAGUGGACGUAUACGGUGUGACGCCUGCCCGGUGCCGGAAGGUUAAUUGAUGGGGUCAGCGCAAGCGAAGCUCCUGAUCGAAGCCCCGGUAAACGGCGGCCGUAACUAUAACGGUCCUAAGGUAGCGAAAUUCCUUGUCGGGUAAGUUCCGACCUGCACGAAUGGCGUAAUGAUGGCCAGGCUGUCUCCACCCGAGACUCAGUGAAAUUGAACUCGCUGUGAAGAUGCAGUGUACCCGCGGCAAGACGGAAAGACCCCGUGAACCUUUACUAUAGCUUGACACUGAACAUUGAGCCUUGAUGUGUAGGAUAGGUGGGAGGCUUUGAAGUGUGGACGCCAGUCUGCAUGGAGCCGACCUUGAAAUACCACCCUUUAAUGUUUGAUGUUCUAACGUGGACCCGUUAUCCGGGUUGCGGACAGUGUCUGGUGGGUAGUUUGACUGGGGCGGUCUCCUCCUAAAGAGUAACGGAGGAGCACGAAGGUUGGCUAAUCCUGGUCGGACAUCAGGAGGUUAGUGCAAUGGCAUAAGCCAGCUUGACUGCGAGCGUGACGGCGCGAGCAGGUGCGAAAGCAGGUCAUAGUGAUCCGGUGGUUCUGAAUGGAAGGGCCAUCGCUCAACGGAUAAAAGGUACUCCGGGGAUAACAGGCUGAUACCGCCCAAGAGUUCAUAUCGACGGCGGUGUUUGGCACCUCGAUGUCGGCUCAUCACAUCCUGGGGCUGAAGUAGGUCCCAAGGGUAUGGCUGUUCGCCAUUUAAAGUGGUACGCGAGCUGGGUUUAGAACGUCGUGAGACAGUUCGGUCCCUAUCUGCCGUGGGCGCUGGAGAACUGAGGGGGGCUGCUCCUAGUACGAGAGGACCGGAGUGGACGCAUCACUGGUGUUCGGGUUGUCAUGCCAAUGGCACUGCCCGGUAGCUAAAUGCGGAAGAGAUAAGUGCUGAAAGCAUCUAAGCACGAAACUUGCCCCGAGAUGAGUUCUCCCUGAGACUUAGAGUCUCCUGAAGGAACGUUGAAGACGACGACGUUGAUAGGCCGGGUGUGUAAGCGCAGCGAUGCGUUG
RNAcentral lists this ribosomal RNA (2764 nucleotides) under Salmonella enterica subsp. enterica serovar Tennessee. RNAcentral's name for it is "bacterial LSU rRNA". It matches the Rfam family "Bacterial large subunit ribosomal RNA". The record is from RNAcentral. Lineage: Bacteria; Pseudomonadati; Pseudomonadota; Gammaproteobacteria; Enterobacterales; Enterobacteriaceae.